This 253-nucleotide ribosomal RNA is filed under the name uncultured bacterium. RNAcentral's name for it is "partial 16S ribosomal RNA". It matches the Rfam family "Bacterial small subunit ribosomal RNA", at positions 524 to 776 of the family's 1533-position model. The record is from RNAcentral.
UACGAAGGGGGCUAGCGUUGUUCGGAGUCACUGGGCGUAAAGGGCGCGUAGGCGGCCUGGCAAGUCGGGGGUGAAAGCCUGUGGCUCAACCACAGAAUGGCCUUCGAUACUGCUGGGCUUGAGACCGGAAGAGGUCAGUGGAACUGCGAGUGUAGAGGUGAAAUUCGUAGAUAUUCGCAAGAACACCAGUGGCGAAGGCGGCUGACUGGUCCGGUUCUGACGCUGAGGCGCGAAAGCGUGGGGAGCGAACGGG